This 212-nucleotide long non-coding RNA is filed under the name Mytilus galloprovincialis (Mediterranean mussel). Lineage: Eukaryota; Metazoa; Mollusca; Bivalvia; Mytilida; Mytilidae. The record is from RNAcentral.
CUUGUGUACACGUAUGGGAAGUUAAGUCGCCUUCUGUGUUUAGGGUUCACAGAUACUAUACCUCCCAUUUAGGUAUAGUAACGUCCCCUACCAUACAGUCCACAAUGCAUCCACAAACUUGAGAGUGAGGAGGCUCAGUUUGACCAAGUGAGGUUGCUCACUUAAAAAAAACAAGAUAUCUUUUCCACGCCGUACCAUAUGUACCAAGUAAC